AUUGAACGCUGGCGGCAGGCCUAACACAUGCAAGUCGAGCGGAUGAAGGGAGCUUGCUCCUGGAUUCAGCGGCGGACGGGUGAGUAAUGCCUAGGAAUCAGCCUGGUAGUGGGGGAUAACGUCCGGAAACGGGCGCUAAUACCGCAUACGUCCUGAGGGAGAAAGUGGGGGAUCUUCGGACCUCACGCUAUCAGAUGAGCCUAGGUCGGAUUAGCUAGUUGGUGGGGUAAAGGCCUACCAAGGCGACGAUCCGUAACUGGUCUGAGAGGAUGAUCAGUCACACUGGAACUGAGACACGGUCCAGACUCCUACGGGAGGCAGCAGUGGGGAAUAUUGGACAGAGGGCGAAAGCCUGAUCCAGCCAUGCCGCGUGUGUGAAGAAGGUCUUCGGAUUGUAAAGCACUUUAAGUUGGGAGGAAGGGCAGUAAGUUAAUACCUUGCUGUUUUGACGUUACCAACAGAAUAAGCACCGGCUAACUUCGUG
This 484-nucleotide ribosomal RNA is filed under the name uncultured bacterium. RNAcentral's name for it is "partial 16S ribosomal RNA". It matches the Rfam family "Bacterial small subunit ribosomal RNA", at positions 30 to 507 of the family's 1533-position model. The record is from RNAcentral.